Molecule: non-coding RNA, 119 nt
Organism: Colletotrichum zoysiae
Lineage: Eukaryota; Fungi; Ascomycota; Sordariomycetes; Glomerellales; Glomerellaceae
Source: the annotation of a GenBank genome assembly
GCCGAGGUGGCUUAGUGGUAGAGCGUGUUCUAUCCAUCUGCUGCAGGCCCUAGGCCUAACGGCUUAGGGGCUGCAGCAGUGUGAGAGCAAGAUCCUAGGUUCGAAUCCUGGCCUUGGUA